Molecule: ribosomal RNA, 464 nt
Filed under: uncultured bacterium
Lineage: Bacteria
Description: partial 16S ribosomal RNA
Rfam family: Bacterial small subunit ribosomal RNA
Source: RNAcentral
GACGAACGCUGGCGGCGUGCUUAACACAUGCAAGUCGAACGGAAAGGCCCUGCUUGCAGGGUACUCGAGUGGCGAACGGGUGAGUAACACUUGGGUGAUCUGCCCUGCACUUCGGGAUAAGCCUGGGAAACUGGGUCUAAUACCGGAUAGGAGCCAUUUUUAGUGUGAUGGUUGGAAAGUUUUUUCGGUGUAGGAUGAGCUCGCGGCCUAUCAGCUUGUUGGUGGGGUAAUGGCCUACCAAGGCGGCGACGGGUAGCCGGCCUGAGAGGGUGGACGGCCACAAUGGGACUGAGAGACGGCCCAGACUCCUACGGGAGGCAGCAGGGGGGAAUAUUGCACAAUGGGCGGAAGCCUGAUGCAGCGACGCCGCGUGGGGGAUGACGGCCUUCGGGUUUUAAACUCCUUUCGCUAGGGACGAAGCUUUUGUGACGGUACCUAGAUAAGAAGCACCGGCUAACUACGUG